This 322-nucleotide long non-coding RNA is filed under the name Mytilus galloprovincialis (Mediterranean mussel). The record is from RNAcentral. Lineage: Eukaryota; Metazoa; Mollusca; Bivalvia; Mytilida; Mytilidae.
GUUAAGGAGAGGGUUGGGGGCUCACAUGUGUAAUCCCGUUGCACUUUUUUGUCGGUCCAACGUCAGGAUCAUGUAGUACAUUGGUUAAAUAGAGCUGUCCUUUUUUCUUCUUUAAUACAUAAUUCAUGAGUUAUAAAUUAAUAACCGUUAGUUUUAUCGUUUUAAUUUUCAUGUUUUUUUUAUAUCGGGGCCUUUUUUAGCCGACUGUAUGGUUUAGGUUUUCUACAUUGUUAAUUUUGUACAUUGGACUAUAAUAGUUGCUUUAUACACCCACUUCAUUUAAACUUUGGUGGAAAGUUGUCUCACUGGCCAUCACACCACA